This 468-nucleotide ribosomal RNA is filed under the name uncultured bacterium. Its description in RNAcentral is "partial 16S ribosomal RNA". It matches the Rfam family "Bacterial small subunit ribosomal RNA", at positions 28 to 507 of the family's 1533-position model. The record is from RNAcentral.
GACGAACGCUGGCGGCGUGCUUAACACAUGCAAGUCGAACGGAAAGGCCCUGCUUUUGUGGGGUGCUCGAGUGGCGAACGGGUGAGUAACACGUGAGUAACCUGCCCUUGACUUUGGGAUAACUUCAGGAAACUGGGGCUAAUACCGGAUAGGAGCUCCUGCUGCAUGGUGGGGGUUGGAAAGUUUCGGCGGUUGGGGAUGGACUCGCGGCUUAUCAGCUUGUUGGUGGGGUAGUGGCUUACCAAGGCUUUGACGGGUAGCCGGCCUGAGAGGGUGACCGGCCACAUUGGGACUGAGAUACGGCCCAGACUCCUACGGGAGGCAGCAGUGGGGAAUAUUGCACAAUGGGCGGAAGCCUGAUGCAGCAACGCCGCGUGCGGGAUGACGGCCUUCGGGUUGUAAACCGCUUUCGCCUGUGACGAAGCGUGAGUGACGGUAAUGGGUACAGAAGCACCGGCUAACUACGUG